AUACGAGUUUGAUCAUGGCUCAGGAUGAACGCUAGCGGCAGGCUUAAUACAUGCAAGUCAAGGGGGUAGCAAUACAACCGGCGCACGGGUGAGUAACGCGUACACAACAUACCAUAUACUGGAGUAUAGCUUUGGGAAACUGAAGGUAAUCCUCCAUAACAUUGCGAGAGGGCAUCUGAUUGCAAUUAAAGUUUCGGCGGUAUAUGAUUGGUGUGCGUUUGAUUAGCUAGUUGGUAGGGUAACGGCCUACCAAGGCGACGAUCAAUAGCUGGCGUGAGAGCGCGACCAGCCACACUGGAACUGAGACACGGUCCAGACUCCUACGGGAGGCAGCAGUAGGGAAUAUUGGACAAUGGAGGAAACCCUGAUCCAGCCAUGCCGCGUGAUAGAUGAAGGCCCUCUGGGUUGUAAAUAUCUUUUAUCUGGGAAGAAACACUCCUAUUCUUAGGAACUUGACGGUACCAGAGGAAUAAGCACCGGCUAACUCCGUG
RNAcentral lists this ribosomal RNA (491 nucleotides) under uncultured bacterium. RNAcentral's name for it is "bacterial SSU rRNA". It matches the Rfam family "Bacterial small subunit ribosomal RNA", at positions 1 to 507 of the family's 1533-position model. The record is from RNAcentral.